This 131-nucleotide small nuclear RNA is filed under the name Aotus nancymaae (Ma's night monkey). Its description in RNAcentral is "U4 spliceosomal RNA (ENSANAG00000003117.1)". It matches the Rfam family "U4 spliceosomal RNA". Rfam says of the family: U4 small nuclear RNA (U4 snRNA) is a component of the major U2-dependent spliceosome. The structure of U4 snRNA from yeast and human has been reported. The record is from Rfam by way of RNAcentral. Lineage: Eukaryota; Metazoa; Chordata; Mammalia; Primates; Aotidae.
AGCUUUGCGCAGUGGCAGUAUUGUAGCCAAUGAGGUGUAUCCGAGGCACGAUUAUUGCUAAUUGAAAACUUUUCCCAAUACCUCACCAUGAUGACUUAAAAUAUAGUCAGCUUUGGCAGUCUCUACUGGGA